This 305-nucleotide ribosomal RNA is filed under the name uncultured bacterium. Its description in RNAcentral is "bacterial SSU rRNA". It matches the Rfam family "Bacterial small subunit ribosomal RNA", at positions 335 to 655 of the family's 1533-position model. The record is from RNAcentral.
UCUCCUACGGGGCGCAGCAGUGGGGAAUAUUGGGCAAUGGGCGCAAGCCUGACCCAGCAACGCCGCGUGAAGGAAGAAGGCUUUCGGGUUGUAAACUUCUUUUGACAGGGAAGAGCAGAAGACGGUACCUGAUGAAUAAGCCACGGCUAACUACGUGCCAGCAGCCGCGGUAAUACGUAGGUGGCAAGCGUUAUCCGGAUUUACUGGGUGUAAAGGGCGUGUAGGCGGGAGUGCAAGUCAGAUGUGAAAACUAUGGGCUCAACCCAUAGCCUGCAUUUGAAACUGUACUUCUUGAGUGCUGGAGG